RNAcentral lists this unclassified non-coding RNA (139 nucleotides) under uncultured Ascomycota. RNAcentral describes it as "sequence contains ITS1". The record is from RNAcentral. Lineage: Eukaryota; Fungi; Ascomycota.
CCUAGAGUUGUAGGCUUUGCCUGCUAUCUCUUACCCAUGUCUUUUGAGUACCUUCGUUUCCUCGGCGGGUCCGCCCGCCGAUUGGACAACACUUAAACCCUUUGUAAUUGAAAUCAGCGUCUGAAAAACUUUAUAGUUA